Molecule: long non-coding RNA, 336 nt
Organism: Dromaius novaehollandiae (emu)
Lineage: Eukaryota; Metazoa; Chordata; Aves; Casuariiformes; Dromaiidae
Exons: 2
Source: RefSeq, a predicted model, not a curated record
CGCGCCGGCCGCGAGCGCCUCGCAGCCUGCUCGCAUUCCUCCGCUGCUCUGGCACACAAGCCGCGCUACAGCGCGAAGGCGAGACGUGAGCAAUGCUUUGCUCGCGCGCAGACGGGGAAACCGAAGCCACGCUCAUCAAAGGGAAGCGCUCUCCAGAGGGAUCGCCCCUCUCCCUGGCCUGGCCCGGAGACAACAGUGUGCAGGACCCCGGGGUCAGUGCGUCCGGCUGCUUUGCCAGAUGGCUAAAAUUUGCCUCUCAAUAGGGACAGAGGCUCCAGCAAAAACAGAAGGCAAGAACGUGUGAAAAAAACCUGUGCAAGAAUAAAUAGCUUUAGA